Molecule: small RNA, 137 nt
Filed under: Arabidopsis thaliana (thale cress)
Lineage: Eukaryota; Viridiplantae; Streptophyta; Magnoliopsida; Brassicales; Brassicaceae
Description: ATSL043570
Source: RNAcentral
UUUUAAUUAUCAAAAACAAACAUUAAAAUCCAGUGGCAGCCAUUGUAAAUAAGUCCCAACUACAGGAUUUAUUUCACAAAAUGGCUGCAAAAAUGUAUAUAUAGAUAAAUGAAAAACAAUAUCGGAGUUGAAAUAAU